AUUGAACGCUGGCGGCAGGCCUAACACAUGCAAGUCGAACGAGUGGCGGACGGGUGAGUAAUGUCUGGGAAACUGCCUGAUGGAGGGGGAUAACUAUUGGAAACGGUAGCUAAUACCGCAUACCAUCAGAUUUCCCCAGAUGGGCUUGGCUUGUUGGUGGGGUAACGGCUCACCAAGGCGACGACCCCUAGCUGGUCUGAGAGGAUGACCGGCAACACUGGAACUGAGACACGGUCACAACUCCUACGGGAGGCAGAAGUGGGGAAUAUUGCACAAUGGGCGCAAGCCUGAUGCAGCAAUGCCGGGGGUAUGAAGAAGGCCUUCGGGUUGUAAAGUACUUUCAGCGGGGAGGCGUUACCCGCAGAAGAAGCACCGGCUAACUACGUGCCAGCAGCCGCGGUAAUUC
RNAcentral lists this ribosomal RNA (406 nucleotides) under uncultured bacterium. Its description in RNAcentral is "partial 16S ribosomal RNA". It matches the Rfam family "Bacterial small subunit ribosomal RNA", at positions 30 to 526 of the family's 1533-position model. The record is from RNAcentral.